AUUGUUUUGAUUAAAGAAAGCUCUUGGCAAACCUCCACCACCAAAACAAAAGGAAAAAACAAUAUUAUAAUGUUCAAACUAUCCCACUUGCAGCCAAAUAUCUCUCCAAGUUCAAUGUUUUGUCCCAUCAUCCUCCAAAUGCCAUAUUUACCAUAUUUAGCCCGAAUGGCACAUUUUAGGUGUAAACAGUUUGUGUAUUUAUUUAACAGCGGAAGCAUAGACAGAUGACAAACCCAAAACGGGUUGAUGGUUUUGUCUCCAACCACAUACCCCGCCUUUCAUCUACUGUAGAAUUUGUAAGAAGAGCGACGACCACAUGACUAAGCAAUGCCCACGUUUUGGCAUGUGCUACCCUCCAUUCGAAUAGUUGAUUCCCUGAACUGUGCUCUCCUUAUUGUGCACCAUUUUGUAUGCAUCACUUUGGUAAAAAAUUUAUUUGAAGGAAGUGGCCAAGAGUUCAAACGUUGGAUUGCAUAUGCAAAGUUCACAUUAGCAUAUGCAUCACUUUUCUAUCUGUGCAAGCAAGCUAAAAUGGGCGGCCAUGGAUAUAACUUAAAAGAUUGGAUGGUCGGGUUUGGUCGAAUGUGCCGAGGAGUCAAAUGCGAUAAUAGUUGAGCUUGAUUGAAUCUGUUGUGAUUCCAGUGCUGGUUGUGGUAUCAGUUUAUUACAGUGAGCCAAGUUACCUGAGGUUUAUGAAGGCUAAUAUGAUAAAGGCUAAUAUGAAAGACAAUAGAGAUUAUUGUAUAAGUGUAUAAGAUUUAAAGGCUAAUAUGAUAAAUUAAUUUAGUUAUGAUUCUCUUGAAAGUGAUUAUAUGGUACAAAGUUUCAAAGGGUUCAUUCAAAUGCAUUUCACAGAACAUGAUAUUUGUCAACUGUUGUUUAUUGAGAUUGCUGAUGUGGUUGUCUUCUUUAUUUGUCAGUGCAUAUUUCCUUUAAUGCUAUUUGAAUAUUUCUUUUUGCUUGCUGCUGUAGUCCUCCUUGGGUUGUCUGAAUAGUGUGGCAUGUCUUACAUUUUGACGAUAAGACUGUAAGACAUGUAACACAUUGUUGUAUGUUAAACAUCACAAAAGGAAGGAGUGUUGACUAUCUUCCUUUUCUUUGUUAACUUUUCUGUUUGAUUGGAUUUGGGUUUCUUUGGAAUUUUAUUUUGUGAUUGACGGUUUACUGAUUGAUUUGUCGGAAAUUGGGUUUCUACUUCUAAUUUGAAAGUGGGGUUUUCUUAAUUUCCUUUUUGUUUCCCCUGUUGUUGUUUAUCUUCCUCAAAGUUGCUGUGUUAUGGGGAUUUUGUACACGUCUGAGUCGGGGGUGGGAGGGGAAUUGUAAGAUAGAUAGUCCUUUGCUCUUGUGGUGUCUGAAGGAGUAGGGACAAAUUUAAAACUCUUUUGUUGUUUAUGUUUGUGAAAUUGCAGCUCCAAUCAAAAGUUGCUUGCUUUUAUCAUUGCUUUGACUGUAUGAGAACGUUUCAAUGUCAAUUUCAAUUGUACUCAUAAACUCCUCUUGUUAAAGGAUCUGUUUAUAUAGAUAAAAGGUUUGUUAUGAAGUAUGUGAAAUGAAACCUUGAUCUUCAAAGUAUGGAGUUUAAUUCAUUAUGUAGUUACACGUAUGCAGAUAUCUGAACUUGUGUGGAAGCUAAUCCAACAUUUUGAUGUGGUUUUCUUAUUUUCUUUGUUUUUCAUAAUCUUGUUUGACAUAUUAUCUACUUGUGAUGGGAAUUUUUUAAUUACCUGCUUUAUUCUUUUAUCUUGAAAACAGAGGAUGCCCACUACGGUUGUAGUUAUUCUAGUUAAUGAGGGCGCCAUAUUUGCAGUGGAUACUAGGGGUUUCUACGAGAAUAGUGAAACUGAAUCUCAUGGAUAUCAUGAUGAGGGUCAUGAGUUUAACUAAGACUAUUUGGUUUGAAUUGUGGGAUACAAAGAAAAUUGAAGUAUGUUUGAAUAUUUGGAUAAACAUGUGCGAAGCCUUUUGAAACAGGUAAUGCACCUUAUAUAUAUUAUAUUAUAUUACAAUGUCAUCUGACUUUGAAUUAAUGUAGGACAUAAACCAUACUAUUGAAUGAGUCGCAACGGAAUCACUUCCUACAAAAAAGUUGGCAAUUUCAAAGACAUCUCCCUGUAUUAUCUAUGAAUCGCAUAGUUUCCGUUGCGAAUCCUUCAACGAUAAGGUUUAUGUCCUACAUUAAUUCAAAGUCUCAUUAUCUUAUAAUAUAUAUAUAUAUAUAUAUAUAUAUAUAUAGCUAUAAGGUGCAUUACCUGUUUUAAAAGGCUUUUGCACAUGUUUAUCCAAAUGUUCAAACAAACUUCGAUUAUUUCCUCGUGUCCCACACUUCAAACUAAAUAGUCUUGAGUUAAACUCAUAUCCUCAUCAUGAUAUAAUGAGAUUUAGUUUCAUUAAUCUCGUAGAAACCCCUAGUAUCCACUGCAAAUGUAUGGUGCCCUCAUCAACUAGAAUAACUGCAACCGUAGUGGGCAUCCUCUGUUUUCAAGAUAUCACAAGCAGAUAAUAUGUCAAACAAGAUUAUGAAAAACAAUAAGAAAACCAUAUCAAAAUGUUGGAUUAGCUUCUACACAAGUUCAGAUAUUUAUAUCUAAUCGUUAAAUUUAUUGAUACAGGUCAAAUCUGACUUAAAAUAUAGUUUCAAAAAAUUUAUUUUCAAUGUGAUUAUAUUUGAUAAUAACCUUAUCGCAUUAACAAAACAUAUUAUUUACGAGUAAUGGUACACAUACCACAUUCACGUGUUAGUAAAAAAAAAUUUCAAAAUCCAAUGCGAUUAUACCUUUACCAAAAACAGAAAUUAAAAAUAAUAAUGAAAAAGGGAAAAACAAACCCUUAUCAUCACAAUUCACAAGGCCAGGCUCCCCACCGGAAUCUCCUCUCUUUCGCACACAGCCAUGAGCCAGAGCGGUAACGAGUCCGAGCGCCAGAGCAAGAAACAAAAACUCUUGAGUCCAGAUCCAGAAUCCCUCCAGGGCCAUAUCCCGGACUUACCACCGAACGCAGACGAGCUGCGCAAGCGGGGGAAGCUCAUAUGGCACUGGGACGAUAGCGAUGAUGAUGAAUUCGAGGACUUCCCCCCGGGAAAGGUUUAUUUUGCUAUCGAGGAAAACUAUAAUGCUCGAAUGACCGCGAAAAAAGAAUUGAGUGAGAUAAGGGCACGAAGAUCAUCCCUCAAAGAAAGGAAGAACACCAGUAUGUCCCCCGAAUUAACAAGACUAGUCAGCGGAAGCACAGACAGAUGACAAACCAAAAACGGGUCGAUGGUUUUUGUCUCCAACCACAUAUCCCCGCCUCCCAUCUACUGUAGAAUUUGUAAGAAGAGCGAUGACCACAUGACUAAGCAAUGCCCGCGUUUUGACUCUUCAACUGUUGUUCAUGACGUGAGAUGUCGACUCUGUUUGAGGGAGGAUCAUGUGGUUACAAUUUGUCCGUACCGGUACUAUGUCCCAAAGGGUGAAAAAGUUGGCCCCGGCGGUAAACUCGUUUGCAUAUGUUGUCAAAAAGAGGGUGGCCAUCCUGGUGAGGAAUGGGUAGGAAAAGCUGUUGGUAAUUAUUGCAGGAUUUGUUCUUCUACUUAUGACCACAGGACUGAAGACUGCCCCGUGAAAAAGGGAAGAGAGAUAGUAGGAGGCAAGUUCCAAUCGGCUAUGGUUGACUCGUGAACAGAAAUGUAUUUAAUUGGGUAGAACUGAGUUCAUGCUGGAUCAGGUUAUAUGAUAUGUAGUGUUCAUUUAUGUUAUGGUAUGUUAUAUAUGGUGUGCUUAUUUCCUAGAUGGAAAUGCAAAACUGAGUUCGUGAGAAUAUGUUUUAAAAGUCUAUAUAUAAUAUUAUGAAAUAAAAUCUUAUAAGCUUAACCUC
This is a non-coding RNA of Malus domestica (apple), 3852 nucleotides long. The record is from RefSeq and is a predicted model, not a curated record. NCBI's taxonomy places the organism in Eukaryota, Viridiplantae, Streptophyta, Magnoliopsida, Rosales, Rosaceae.